RNAcentral lists this ribosomal RNA (466 nucleotides) under uncultured bacterium. Its description in RNAcentral is "partial 16S ribosomal RNA". It matches the Rfam family "Bacterial small subunit ribosomal RNA", at positions 28 to 523 of the family's 1533-position model. The record is from RNAcentral.
GACGAACGCUGGCGGCGUGCUUAACACAUGCAAGUCGAACGGUAAGGCCCUUCGGGGUACACGAGUGGCGAACGGGUGAGUAACACGUGGGUGAUCUGCCCUGCACUUCGGGAUAAGCCUGGGAAACUGGGUCUAAUACCGGAUAGGACCACUGCCUGCAUGGGUGGUGGUGGAAAGCUUUUGCGGUGUGGGAUGGGCCCGCGGCCUAUCAGCUUGUUGGUGGGGUGAUGGCCUACCAAGGCGACGGCGGGUAGCCGGCCUGAGAGGGUGACCGGCCACACUGGGACUGAGACACGGCCCAUACACCUACGGGUGGCAGCAGUUAGGAAUUUUGCACAAUGGACGAAAGUCUGAUGCAGCGACAUCGCGUGUGGGAUGAAGGCCUUCGGGUCGUAAACCACUUUUGUUUCUCCAUGAAGGAGGAGCGAAUAAGGAACUACUAACUACGUGCCAGCAGCCGCAGUAA